UACGUAGGGUGCGAGCGUUGUCCGGAAUUACUGGGCGUAAAGAGCUCGUAGGUGGUUUGUCGCGUUGUUCGUGAAAACCUGAGGCUUAACCUUGGGCGUGCGGGCGAUACGGGCAGACUGGAGUACUGCAGGGGAGACUGGAAUUCCUGGUGUAGCGGUGGAAUGCGCAGAUAUCAGGAGGAAUACCGAUGGCGAAGGCAGGUCUCUGGGCUGACACUGACGCUCAUGCACGAAAGCGUGGGGAGCAGACAGG
RNAcentral lists this ribosomal RNA (253 nucleotides) under uncultured bacterium. Its description in RNAcentral is "partial 16S ribosomal RNA". It matches the Rfam family "Bacterial small subunit ribosomal RNA", at positions 524 to 776 of the family's 1533-position model. The record is from RNAcentral.